RNAcentral lists this ribosomal RNA (503 nucleotides) under Bactrocera trivialis. RNAcentral describes it as "partial large subunit ribosomal RNA". It matches the Rfam family "Bacterial large subunit ribosomal RNA", at positions 1799 to 2568 of the family's 2925-position model. The record is from RNAcentral. Lineage: Eukaryota; Metazoa; Arthropoda; Insecta; Diptera; Tephritidae.
CCUGUUUUACAAAAACAUGUCUUUUUGAGUUAUUUUUAAAGUCUGACCUGCCCACUGAAGUUAUUUAAAUGGCCGCAGUAUUCUAACUGUGCAAAGGUAGCAUAAUCAUUAGUCUUUUAAUUGAAGGCUGGUAUGAACGGUUGGACGAGGUAUAAGCUGUUUCAUAUAAAUUUAUAAUAGAAUUUUAUAUUUUAGUCAAAAAGCUAAAAUUUAAUUAAAAGACGAGAAGACCCUAUAAAUCUUUAUACUUUAUGUUGUUUAAAUUUUUUAGAUUGAUUUUAUUUUUAUAGUUUGAGGUAUUUUGUUGGGGUGAUAUUAAAAUUUAAUGAACUUUUAAUUAUUAAAAAUCAUUAAUUUAUGAAUUAUUGAUCCAUUAGUAGUGAUUAUAAGAUUAAGUUACUUUAGGGAUAACAGCGUAAUUUUUUUGGAGAGUUCAUAUCGAUAAAAAAGUUUGCGACCUCGAUGUUGGAUUAAGAUAUAUUUUUAGGUGUAGCCGCUUAAAU